RNAcentral lists this ribosomal RNA (264 nucleotides) under uncultured prokaryote. RNAcentral's name for it is "partial 16S ribosomal RNA". It matches the Rfam family "Bacterial small subunit ribosomal RNA", at positions 524 to 788 of the family's 1533-position model. The record is from RNAcentral.
UACGUAGGGGCGAGCGUUGUCCGGAAUUAUUGGGCGUAAAGCGCGCGCAGGCGGUCUUUUAAGUCUGAUGUGAAAUCUUACGGCUUAACCGUAAGCGGUCAUUGGAAACUGGGAGACUUGAGUGCAGAAGAGGAGAGUGGAAUUCCACGUGUAGCGGUGAGAUGCGUAGAGAUGUGGAGGAACACCAGUGGCGAAGGCGACACUCUGGUCUGUAACUGACGCUGAGGUGCGAAAGCGUGGGUAGCGAACAGGAUUAGAUACCCU